This 398-nucleotide ribosomal RNA is filed under the name uncultured bacterium. RNAcentral's name for it is "partial 16S ribosomal RNA". It matches the Rfam family "Bacterial small subunit ribosomal RNA", at positions 523 to 918 of the family's 1533-position model. The record is from RNAcentral.
AUACGUAGGGUGCGAGCGUUGUCCGGAAUUACUGGGCGUAAAGAGCUCGUAGGUGGUUUGUCGCGUCGUCUGUGAAAUUCCGGGGCUUAACUCCGGGCGUGCAGGCGAUACGGGCAUAACUUGAGUACUGUAGGGGAGACUGGAAUUCCUGGUGUAGCGGUGAAAUGCGCAGAUAUCAGGAGGAACACCGGUGGCGAAGGCGGGUCUCGGGGCAGUAACUGACGCUGAGGAGCGAAAGCAUGGUAAGCGAACAGGAUUAGAUACCCUGGUAGUCCAUGCCGUAAACGGUGGGCGCUAGGUGUAGGGGUCUUCCACGACUUCUGUGCCGUAGCUAACGCAUUAAGCGCCCCGCCUGGGGAGUACGGCCGCAAGGCUAAAACUCAAAUGAAUUGACGGGG